This 525-nucleotide ribosomal RNA is filed under the name uncultured bacterium. Its description in RNAcentral is "bacterial SSU rRNA". It matches the Rfam family "Bacterial small subunit ribosomal RNA", at positions 355 to 895 of the family's 1533-position model. The record is from RNAcentral.
UGGGGAAUCUUGGACAAUGGGGGCAACCCUGAUCCAGCCAUGCCGCGUGAGUGAUGAAGGCCUUAGGGUCGUAAAGCUCUUUCGCCUGUGAAGAUAAUGACGGUAGCAGGUAAAGAAACCCCGGCUAACUCCGUGCCAGCAGCCGCGGUAAUACGGAGGGGGUUAGCGUUGUUCGGAAUUACUGGGCGUAAAGCGCACGUAGGCGGACCAGAAAGUUGGGGGUGAAAUCCCGGGGGCUCAACCCCGGAACUGCCUCCAAAACUAUUGGUCUAGAGUUCGAGAGAGGUGAGUGGAAUUCCAAGUGUAGAGGUGAAAUUCGUAGAUAUUUGGAGGAACACCAGUGGCGAAGGCGGCUCACUGGCUCGAUACUGACGCUGAGGUGCGAAAGUGUGGGGAGCAAACAGGAUUAGAUACCCUGGGUAGUCCACACCGUAAAACGAUGAAUGCCAGUCGUCGGGUAGCAUGCUAUUCGGUGACACACCUAACGGAUUAAGCAUUCCGCCUGGGGAGUACGGUCGCAAGAUU